ACGUAGGGGGCAAGCGUUGUCCGGAAUUACUGGGCGUAAAGCGCACGUAGGCGGUUUGGUAAGUUAGGUGUGAAAGUUUCCGGCUCAACUGUAAAAGUGCAUUUAAAACUGGCGGACUUGAGUACCGGAGAGGUAAGCGGAAUUCCUGGUGUAGCGGUGAAAUGCGUAGAGAUUAGGAAGAACACCGGUGGCGAAGGCGGCUUACUGGACGAUAACUGACGCUGAGGUGCGAAAGCGUGGGGAGCAAACAG
Molecule: ribosomal RNA, 251 nt
Filed under: uncultured prokaryote
Description: partial 16S rRNA
Rfam family: Bacterial small subunit ribosomal RNA
Source: RNAcentral